GACGAACGCUGGCGGCGUGCUUAACACAUGCAAGUCGAACGGAAAGGCCCUGCUUUUGUGGGGUGCUCGAGUGGCGCACGGGUGAGUAACACGUGAGUAACCUGCCCUUGACUUUGGGAUAACUUCAGGAAACUGGGGCUAAUACCGGAUAGGAGCUCCUGCUGCAUGGUGGGGGUUGGAAAGUUUCGGCGGUUGGGGAUGGACUCGCGGCUUAUCAGCUUGUUGGUGGGGUAGUGGCUUACCAAGGCUUUGACGGGUAGCCGGCCUGAGCGGGUGACCGGCCACAUUGGGACUGAGAUACGGCCCAGACUCCUACGGGAGGCAGCAGGGGGGAAUAUGGCACAAUGGGCGGAAGCCUGAUGCAGCAACGCCGCGUGCGGGAUGACGGCCUUCGGGUUGUAAACCGCUUUCGCCUGUGACGAAGCGUGAGUGACGGUAAUGGGUAAAGAAGCACCGGCUAACUACGUG
This 468-nucleotide ribosomal RNA is filed under the name uncultured bacterium. RNAcentral describes it as "partial 16S ribosomal RNA". It matches the Rfam family "Bacterial small subunit ribosomal RNA", at positions 28 to 507 of the family's 1533-position model. The record is from RNAcentral.